Long non-coding RNA from Bactrocera latifrons, 431 nucleotides. RefSeq lists it as uncharacterized. The transcript is spliced from 3 exons. The record is from RefSeq and is a predicted model, not a curated record. NCBI's taxonomy places the organism in Eukaryota, Metazoa, Arthropoda, Insecta, Diptera, Tephritidae.
ACGAGCUGCUCCGAAAUAGUGAAAAGUGAAUAGCUGUACUUGUAAAAUUUGUGUAUAAAGUGUAACUUGUAAAUUUGUGUAUAUGAAUGAACAAAGUGCAUUUAUUAUUAAUGAAGAAAGUCAUGAAAAAAUGGUGAAAGAAAAUGAAUAUCUUCGUUUUAUAGAGAGGAAARCGUAAAGAGCUAAAAGGAAAAAAAAAACUAAUGCACUUCAAAGCAAAUGCAAUAUUAUCAGCGUCAGAAAGAUUUGAAGAAAAAUGAAAAAAUACUAAAAAGAGUACCAAAAUCAAAUGCUGAACGUUAAAAGAAAUUUCGUCAACAUAAUGCGGAAAAAGCUUACAUGGAUAUAAGAAGACGAAAAUUGUGAAGUAAUGAAGAGAACAUCGUGCGAUGUACCACACCAUUGACGCGGUAUUUACUAGGUAUUUAGAG